This 482-nucleotide ribosomal RNA is filed under the name uncultured bacterium. RNAcentral describes it as "bacterial SSU rRNA". It matches the Rfam family "Bacterial small subunit ribosomal RNA", at positions 28 to 501 of the family's 1533-position model. The record is from RNAcentral.
GAUGAACGCUAGCGGCAGGCUUAACACAUGCAAGUCGAGGGGCAGCAUAAUGGAUAGCAAUAUCUAUGGUGGCGACCGGCGCACGGGUGCGUAACGCGUAUGCAACCUACCUUUAACAGGGGGAUAACACUGAGAAAUUGGUACUAAUACCCCAUAAUAUCAUAGAAGGCAUCUUUUAUGGUUGAAAAUUCCGAUGGUUAGAGAUGGGCAUGCGUUGUAUUAGCUAGUUGGUGAGGUAACGGCUCACCAAGGCGACGAUACAUAGGGGGACUGAGAGGUUAACCCCCCACACUGGUACUGAGACACGGACCAGACUCCUACGGGAGGCAGCAGUGAGGAAUAUUGGUCAAUGGACGCAAGUCUGAACCAGCCAUGCCGCGUGCAGGAUGACGGCUCUAUGAGUUGUAAACUGCUUUUGUACUAGGGUAAACUCACCUACGUGUAGGUGACUGAAAGUAUAGUACGAAUAAGGAUCGGCUAAC